CCUACGGGAGGCAGCAGUAGGGAAUUUUCCACAAUGGGGGCAACCCUGAUGGAGCAACGCCGCGUGCAGGAUGAAUGCCUUCGGGUUGUAAACUGCUUUUAUCUGUGACGAUUAUGACGGUAGCAGAUGAAUAAGGAUCGGCUAACUCCGUGCCAGCAGCCGCGGUCAUACGGAGGAUCCAAGCGUUAUCCGGAAUUACUGGGCGUAAAGAGUUGCGUAGGUGGUUUGUUAAGCAAAUAGUGAAAGCGUGGGGCUCAACCUCAUAUCCAUUAUUUGAACUGGCAGACUAGAGGAUGAGAGAGGUCGCUGGAAUUCCUAGUGUAGGAGUGAAAUCCGUAGAUAUUAGGAGGAACACCGAUGGCGUAGGCAGGCGACUGGCUCAUUCCUGACACUGAGGCACGAAAGCGUGGGGAGCAAACGGGAUUAGAUACCCUGGUAGU
This 440-nucleotide ribosomal RNA is filed under the name uncultured bacterium. RNAcentral's name for it is "bacterial SSU rRNA". It matches the Rfam family "Bacterial small subunit ribosomal RNA", at positions 338 to 794 of the family's 1533-position model. The record is from RNAcentral.